This 215-nucleotide ribosomal RNA is filed under the name Thermus tengchongensis. Its description in RNAcentral is "partial 23S ribosomal RNA". It matches the Rfam family "Bacterial large subunit ribosomal RNA", at positions 2714 to 2925 of the family's 2925-position model. Lineage: Bacteria; Thermotogati; Deinococcota; Deinococci; Thermales; Thermaceae. The record is from RNAcentral.
UUCCCAGCUGUCCCUCCAGGGGCAUAAGCUGGGUAGCCAUGUGCGGGAGGGAUAACCGCUGAAAGCAUCUAAGCGGGAAACCCGCCCCAAGAUGAGGCCUCCCACGGUGUGAAGCCGGUAAGGACCCGGGAAGACGACCCGGUGGAUGGGCCGGAGGUGUAAGCGCCGCGAGGCGUUGAGCUGACCGGUCCCAAUCGUCCGAGGUCUUGACCCUU